AAAUCAUCAAGUAUUAAAAAUAACCCAUCCUCAUAUUAUUGAAGGUAUUUUGGACAAAUAUGUUAUUUCAGACGUGUAUCAAUUUGGUAGCCCUUCACACAAUCGGUACACAUGAAGUUGCUCUCACCCUCAAAAAUGUUGGUGACACCUGCUCUAAAUCCUCCCAAGGUGUGAGUGUGAGCUCGGAUCUUUGUAGAAAGGAAAACUUUAAAAAACUUGACAUUGCAAAAGGGGAUGGGUUGUACACAUUUAUUAAGAACACUAACAACAACAACAACAAAAGGUGCAUUUGUUCUUCUUCUCAUUCAGCACUGAAGCGGCCUCUCAACUCUCCGUCCACAUUGACUGAACAAACAAA
Hippocampus zosterae (dwarf seahorse) is the source of this 358-nucleotide long non-coding RNA. RefSeq lists it as uncharacterized. NCBI's taxonomy places the organism in Eukaryota, Metazoa, Chordata, Actinopteri, Syngnathiformes, Syngnathidae. The record is from RefSeq and is a predicted model, not a curated record. The transcript has 2 exons.